ACAACACAGCUGCAACAUGUGAGCACACACACUCACACUCACACACUUUCUCUCAUACAACCACAUGCCAAAACUUACAGUUUGGGGUGAACCACCCCUGCACACAAACUCACACACAUUCAUACAGCACAAACAACCAUGCUCUAAGUUCACAAACUCUCACACAUUCAUACAGCACAAAUAACAAUGCCCUAGGUUCACAUUCAUACAGCACAUAUACCCCCAUGCUCUAGGUUCCUCUGUCCUGCUGCUUUAGCUGAGACUAUUCAAUGACAAUUGUGCUCAAUUCAGAUGCAGGAAGACAAAUGCCUGUCGACACAGAACAUAGUGGGAAAGCAGUCAGGCUGAGUGAUUUGGCAGCUGGGAGUGCGAUGGGAGACUGGGGUCUUGUUUGGGGCCGACCCAGUGUGGUUAGACAGGCCCACAUGCAUAAGCACAGCUAGUUUUAAACAGCCACAAAUGAGCACUCUCUUACGAACGCAACUGGCAGCAAGUCUCACCACAAACCACAGGAGGGAUCCCCCUGCUUGAUUUGAGGGGACUUUUUUUCCCUCCAUGCACUCCAGAGGAAACGGAGAAAAAAAGUAAAAUACAUUUAAAAAAAAAUAAAAAAUA
Long non-coding RNA from Clupea harengus (Atlantic herring), 615 nucleotides. RefSeq lists it as uncharacterized. Lineage: Eukaryota; Metazoa; Chordata; Actinopteri; Clupeiformes; Clupeidae. The record is from RefSeq and is a predicted model, not a curated record. The transcript has 2 exons.